GAGUUUGAUCUUGGCUCAGAUUGAACGCUGGUGGCAUGCCUUACACAUGCAAGUCGAACGGCAGCAUGAUCUAGCUUGCUAGAUUGAUGGCGAGUGGGCGAACGGGUGAGUAAUACAUCGGAACGUGCCCUGUAGUGGGGGAUAACUAGUCGAAAGAUUAGCUAAUACCGCAUACGACCUGAGGGUGAAAGUGGGGGACCGCAAGGCCUCAUGCUAUAGGAGCGGCCGAUGUCUGAUUAGCUAGUUGGUGGGGUAAAGGCCCACCAAGGCGACGAUCAGUAGCUGGUCUGAGAGGACGAUCAGCCACACUGGGACUGAGACACGGCCCAGACUCCUACGGGAGGCAGCAGUGGGGAAUUUGGACAAUGGGCGAAAGCCUGAUCCAGCAAUGCCGCGUGUGUGAAGAAGGCCUUCGGUUGU
RNAcentral lists this ribosomal RNA (420 nucleotides) under uncultured microorganism. RNAcentral describes it as "bacterial SSU rRNA". It matches the Rfam family "Bacterial small subunit ribosomal RNA", at positions 9 to 426 of the family's 1533-position model. The record is from RNAcentral.